This 529-nucleotide ribosomal RNA is filed under the name uncultured bacterium. RNAcentral's name for it is "partial 16S ribosomal RNA". It matches the Rfam family "Bacterial small subunit ribosomal RNA", at positions 355 to 874 of the family's 1533-position model. The record is from RNAcentral.
UGGGGAAUAUUGGACAAUGGGCGCAAGCCUGAUCCAGCAAUGCCGCGUGUGUGAAGAAGGCCUUCGGGUUGUAAGGCACUUUUAUCAGGAGCGAAACGCUGUCGGCUAAUACCCGGCGGAACUGACGGUACCUGAGGAAUAAGCACCGGCUAACUUCGUGCCAGCAGCCGCGGUAAUACGAAGGGUGCAAGCGUUAAUCGGAAUUACUGGGCGUAAAGCGUGCGUAGGCGGUUCCUUAAGUCUGCUGUGAAAUCCCCGGGCUCAACCUGGGAAUGGCAGUGGAUACUGGGAGGCUAGAGUGUGUCAGAGGGUGGUGGAAUUCCCGGUGUAGCGGUGAAAUGCGUAGAGAUCGGGAGGAACAUCAGUGGCGAAGGCGGCCACCUGGGGACAACACUGACGCUGAGGCACGAAAGCGUGGGGAGCAAACAGGAUUAGAUACCCUGGUAGUCCACGCCCUAAACGAUGCGAACUGGAUGUUGGUCUCAACUCGGAGAUCAGUGUCGAAGCUAACGCGUUAAGUUCGCCGCCU